CCUACGGGAGGCAGCAGUGAGGAAUAUUGGUCAAUGGCCGGAAGGCUGAACCAGCCAUGCCGCGUGAAGGUCAGUGCCCUAUGGGCGUUAAACUUCUUUUGUGCGGGAGCAAUAAUGGUCACGUGUGGCCCGACGAGAGUACCGUACGAAUAAGCAUCGGCUAACUCCGUGCCAGCAGCCGCGGUAAUCCGGGGGAUGCCAGCGUUAUCCGGAUUUAUUUGGUUUAAAGGGUGCGUAGGCUGGGAGGUAAGUCAGCGGUGAAAUGCCCCCGCUCAACGGGGUGAAGUGCCAUUGAUACUGCCGUGCUGGAAGGCGAAUGCCGUGGGAGGAAUGUGUGGUGUAGCGGUGAAAUGCAUAGAUAUCACACAGAACACCGAUUGCGAAGGCAUCUCACGAAUCCGCGAUUGACGCUGAUGCACGAAAGCGUGGGUAUCAAACAGGAUUAGAUACCCUAGUAGUC
Molecule: ribosomal RNA, 460 nt
Filed under: uncultured bacterium
Lineage: Bacteria
Description: partial 16S ribosomal RNA
Rfam family: Bacterial small subunit ribosomal RNA
Source: RNAcentral